Molecule: ribosomal RNA, 342 nt
Filed under: uncultured archaeon
Lineage: Archaea
Description: partial 16S ribosomal RNA
Source: RNAcentral
UUUCAGACUUGCGUCCGUACUUCCCAGGCGGCAAACUUAACGGCUUCCCUGCGGCACUGCAUUGGCCAUAAGCCAAUGCAUCACCGAGUUUGCAUCGUUUACAGCUGGGACUACCCGGGUAUCUAAUCCGGUUUGCUCCCCCAGCUUUCAUCCCUCACCGUCGAACGUGUUCUGGCAGACCGCCUUCGCCACUGGUGGUCCUCGGAGGAUCAGAGGAUUUUACCCCUACCCCCCGAAUACCGUCCGCCUCUCCCACUCCCUAGCUUUGUAGUAUCUCCAGCGGCCCAUCUGUUAAGCAGGUGGAUUUAACCGGAGACUUGCAAAGCCGGCUACGGAUGCUUU